AGCCGGGUCCUGCGCAACAGGCGGCCGUAAACCCCGUCAGGCCCGGAAGGGAGCAGCGGUAGCGGUUUGAAUGUGUGCCGCGGGGGUGCCCGGCUGUC
Molecule: signal recognition particle RNA, 98 nt
Filed under: Desulfuromonadales bacterium
Lineage: Bacteria; Pseudomonadati; Thermodesulfobacteriota; Desulfuromonadia; Desulfuromonadales
Also listed under: 2 other names
Description: signal recognition particle sRNA small type
Rfam family: Bacterial small signal recognition particle RNA
About the family: The signal recognition particle (SRP) is a universally conserved ribonucleoprotein involved in the co-translational targeting of proteins to membranes. Archaeal SRP consists of a 7S RNA and homologues of the eukaryotic SRP19 and SRP54 proteins.
Source: RNAcentral